This 492-nucleotide ribosomal RNA is filed under the name uncultured bacterium. RNAcentral's name for it is "partial 16S ribosomal RNA". It matches the Rfam family "Bacterial small subunit ribosomal RNA", at positions 29 to 507 of the family's 1533-position model. The record is from RNAcentral.
AGUGAACGCUGGCGGUAGGCCUAACACAUGCAAGUCGAACGGCAGCACAGUAAGAGCUUGCUCUUACGGGUGGCGAGUGGCGGACGGGUGAGGAAUACAUCGGAAUCUACUUUUUCGUGGGGGAUAACGUAGGGAAACUUACGCUAAUACCGCAUGCGACCUACGGGUGAAAGCAGGGGAUCUUCGGACCUUGCGCGACUGAAUGAGCCGAUGUCGGAUUAGCUAGUUGGCGGGGUAAAGGCCCACCAAGGCGACGAUCCGUAGCUGGUCUGAGAGGAUGAUCAGCCACACUGGAACUGAGACACGGUCCAGACUCCUACGGGAGGCAGCAGUGGGGAAUAUUGGACAAUGGGCGCAAGCCUGAUCCAGCCAUACCGCGUGGGUGAAGAAGGCCUUCGGGUUGUAAAGCCCUUUUGUUGGGAAAGAAAAGCAGCAGGUUAAUACCCCGCUGUUCUGACGGUACCCAAAGAAUAAGCACCGGCUAACUUCGUG